Molecule: non-coding RNA, 200 nt
Filed under: Paenibacillus sp.
Lineage: Bacteria; Bacillati; Bacillota; Bacilli; Caryophanales; Paenibacillaceae
Also listed under: 1 other name
Source: RNAcentral
UGAUAGUCUAGUGAAAAGGGUGCAGAUUCUAUCCAUAGAAUUUGCUUAAAAGGGAAGGCCGGUGCAAGUCCGGCGCGGUCCCGCCACUGUAAAUGCGGAGCGACUCUUAAGGGUGCCACUGUCCUGUGAAGCAAGGACGGGAAGGCGGAGGGAAGCGGUGAAGCAUAAGCCAGGAGACCUGCCUUUUUCUUGAACGUUUC